GGUUCAGGACGAACGCUGGCGGCGUGCCUAAUACAUGCAAGUGGAACGCAUGAUUGAUACCGUAGCUUGCUACACCAUUAAUCAUGAGUCGCGAACGGGUGAGUAACGCGUAGGUAACCUGUCUACUAGCGGGGGAUAACUAUUGGAAACGAUAGCUAAUACCGCAUAAGAGUUUUUUAACACAUGUUAGAAAUUUAAAAGGAGCAAAUGCUUCACUAGUAGAUGGACCUGCGUUGUAUUAGCUAGUUGGUAAGGUAACGGCUUACCAAGGCGACGAUACAUAGCCGACCUGAGAGGGUGAUCGGCCACACUGGGACUGAGACACGGCCCAGACUCCUACGGGAGGCAGCAGUAGGGAAUCUUCGGCAAUGGGGGGAACCCUGACCGAGCAACGCCGCGUGAAGUGAAGAAGGUUUUCGGAUCGUAAAGCUCUGUUGUAAGAGAAGAACGUUGAGUAGAGUGGAAAGUUACUCAAGUGACGGUAUCUUACCAGAAAGGGACGGCUAACUACGUGCCAGCCGCCGC
Molecule: ribosomal RNA, 525 nt
Filed under: uncultured bacterium
Lineage: Bacteria
Description: bacterial SSU rRNA
Rfam family: Bacterial small subunit ribosomal RNA
Source: RNAcentral